UGAGAAUGUCAUUAGACUUCUGAUUGAAAAACUUUGUAAAGAUUUUCAUUGGAUUAGUGUUGUCUUU
This 67-nucleotide microRNA precursor is filed under the name Bombyx mori (domestic silkworm). Its description in RNAcentral is "microRNA bmo-mir-2742 precursor". The record is from miRBase by way of RNAcentral. Lineage: Eukaryota; Metazoa; Arthropoda; Insecta; Lepidoptera; Bombycidae.